CUUAUACUCCCUCCGUCCCAAAAUUCUUGUCUUAGAUUUGUGUAGAUAUGAAUGUAUCUAGUCACAUUUUAGUAUUUAGAUACAUCCAUUUCUAGACAAACCUAAGACAAGAAUUUUGGGGGGAGUAUUUU
RNAcentral lists this microRNA precursor (131 nucleotides) under Hordeum vulgare. RNAcentral's name for it is "microRNA MIR1122". It matches the Rfam family "MIR1120/MIR1122 microRNA precursor family". The record is from RNAcentral. Lineage: Eukaryota; Viridiplantae; Streptophyta; Magnoliopsida; Poales; Poaceae.